RNAcentral lists this long non-coding RNA (304 nucleotides) under Homo sapiens (human). RNAcentral describes it as "LHRI_LNC727.1". Lineage: Eukaryota; Metazoa; Chordata; Mammalia; Primates; Hominidae. The record is from RNAcentral.
AAAUUAGUCAGCAUCAGCUGGGCUGCUGUAACAAACAACCCCAAAUCUCAUAAACAAACGUUAGUUUUCACCCCUCUGAAGUCCACUGUGGGCCUAGGCAGCUAUGGUCCAUGUGGUGACUCAGUGAUCCAGGCUUUUAAAAUUGUGUGCUUCUGCACUGCAAUUUGAGGACGCCUCAUUUGCUGUGUCAGGGGAGGAGAGAGAUUGGAAAACCUCAUGGGGACUGUACACUUCCUUGGCCUGAAGCGAUGCUCAUCACUUCCAUUCACAAAGCCAGUCAUAUGCCCCUUUAGCUGGAAGAGGG